AGAGGGUGCAAACGUUGUUCGGAAUUACUGGGCGUAAAGCGCGUGUAGGCUGCUUCGCAAGUCGGAUGUGAAAGCCCUGGGCUCAACCCAGGAAGUGCAUUCGAAACUGCAGAGCUGGAGUCCUGGAGAGGAAGGCGGAAUUCUCGGUGUAGAGGUGAAAUUCGUAGAUAUCGAGAGGAACACCGGUGGCGAAGGCGGCCUUCUGGACAGUGACUGACGCUGAGACGCGAAAGCGUGGGGAGCAAACAGGAUUAGAUACCCUGGUAGUCCACGCCGUAAACGAUGGGUGCUAGGUGUUGCGGGCUUUGACCCCUGCAGUGCCGUAGCUAACGCAUUAAGCACCCCGCCUGGGGAGUACGGCCGCAAGGCUA
RNAcentral lists this ribosomal RNA (371 nucleotides) under uncultured bacterium. RNAcentral describes it as "bacterial SSU rRNA". It matches the Rfam family "Bacterial small subunit ribosomal RNA", at positions 527 to 896 of the family's 1533-position model. The record is from RNAcentral.